Molecule: non-coding RNA, 675 nt
Filed under: Pongo abelii (Sumatran orangutan)
Lineage: Eukaryota; Metazoa; Chordata; Mammalia; Primates; Hominidae
Source: RNAcentral
GUAGCAAAAGGGUUUUUGUUUCUCUUUUUUUUUUAAGAAAAAAAUGGGGGGCCUAGAAAAAAAGCUUACAAGUCUUGUUUCAGGAAAGCAGCUGGAACAUUAAUGGCAAUUCCACUUUCCCAUUCAUCGCCCCCGCCCCCACCAUCCCACCAAGAAACUCAGUGGGAAUGAAUGGUCUACACAGAGAAACUGAAAUCUGGUUAGUCAAGAAGGAAAAAACAGCCAAGUGCCUAGAAUUAAGAGGAUUUUUUUUUUAAGCUCAGCCUACGGACAACAAAAGCAUGGACUGUAUUUCCCAGCAUCUUUCGCACUUGAACAAGAUUAUUUUUUCCUUGAAAAUUGACAUGGAUGGUCUGCCACUGUGGGCUUUAUCUUCAACAUUGUCUCAACCCUUCUUAUUAAUAACAUGAGUUAUCCACUUGUAAACUGCUGAUUUCUUUGGGGCAUUGUCACCAUAAACAUUUGAUAAGGCAUCAGUGAUUCCAACAUUCUUCACCCAAGCUUCACCAUAAAUUUGAUGUUUCUUUUUGCUUCAUUUUAGCAGAAUUUGCUCCAAUAGGGGCUCUUUUCGAACUCUUUUUUUUUUUCCAUUUUUUUCACUGGGAUUUUGAGAAAAUCAAACUGGAUAGCCUUCUUAGUGCCUCAAACUAGAUCCUGUUCAGACACAAACAAGUU